Molecule: ribosomal RNA, 253 nt
Filed under: uncultured bacterium
Lineage: Bacteria
Description: partial 16S ribosomal RNA
Rfam family: Bacterial small subunit ribosomal RNA
Source: RNAcentral
UACGUAGGGUGCGAGCGUUAAUCGGAAUUACUGGGCGUAAAGCGUGCGCAGGCGGUUUUGUAAGCCAGAUGUGAAAUCCCCGGGCUUAACCUGGGAAUGGCAUUUGGGACUGCAAGGCUCGAGUGCGGCAGAAGAGACUGGAAUUCCUGGUGUAGCAGUGAAAUGCGUAGAUAUCAGGAGGAACACCGAUGGCGAAGGCAGGUCUCUGGGCUGACACUGACGCUCAUGCACGAAAGCGUGGGGAGCAAACAGG